GUGGGGAAUAUUGCACAAUGGGGGAAACCCUGAUGCAGCGACGCCGCGUGAGUGAAGAAGUAUUUCGGUACGUAAAGCUCUAUCAGCAAGGAAGAAAAUGAUGGUACUUGAAUAAGAAGCCCCGGCUAACUACGUGCCAGCAGCCGCGGUAAUACGGAGGGGGCAAGCGUUAUCCGGAUUUACUGGGUGUAAAGGGAGCGUAGACGGGAUGGUAAGUCAGAUGUGAAAGCCCGGGGCUCAACCCCGGGACUGCAUUUGAAACUAUCAGACUAGAGUGCAGGGGAGGUAAGUGGAAUUCCUAGUGUAGCGGUGAAAUGCGUAGAUAUUAGGAGGAACACCAGUGGCGAAGGCGGCUUACUGGACUGUAACUGACGUUGAGGCUCGAAAGCGUGGGGAGCAAACAGGAUUAGAUACCCCUGUAGUCC
Molecule: ribosomal RNA, 425 nt
Filed under: uncultured bacterium
Lineage: Bacteria
Description: partial 16S ribosomal RNA
Rfam family: Bacterial small subunit ribosomal RNA
Source: RNAcentral